GACGAACGCUGGCGGUGUGCUUAACACAUGCGAGUGGUGCGACGAACCAGAGCUUGCUCUGGGGCAAAGCCGCGAACGGGUGAGUAACACGUGGGUAAUCUACCCCGAUGACCGGGACAACCCGAGGAAACUCGGGCUAAUACCGGAUGUGGUGCGGAGACAUAAGUCUCUUCACUAAAGGUAGCUUCGGCUUCCGCAUUGGGAGGGGCCCGCGGCCCAUUAGCUUGUUGGUGGGGUCAAGGCCUACCAAGGCAACGAUGGGUAGCUGGUCUGAGAGGACGAUCAGCCACACUGGGACUGAGACACGGCCCAGACUCCUACGGGAGGCAGCAGUGGGGAAUCUUGCGCAAUGCGCGAAAGCGUGACGCAGCAACACCGCGUGAGGGAAGAAGGCCUUAGGGUUGUAAACCUCUUUCAGAUGGGACGAAGGUUCUCCGGUGAAUAGCCGAGAGGAUUGACGGUACCGUCAGAAGAAGCUCCGGCUAACUACGUG
Molecule: ribosomal RNA, 493 nt
Filed under: uncultured bacterium
Lineage: Bacteria
Description: partial 16S ribosomal RNA
Rfam family: Bacterial small subunit ribosomal RNA
Source: RNAcentral